GACGAACGCUGGCGGCGUGCUUAACACAUGCAAGUCGAACGGAAAGGCCCUGCUUGCCGGGUACUCGAGUGGCGAACGGGUGAGUAACACGUGGGUGAUCUGCCAUGCACUUCGGGAUAAGCCUGGGAAACUGGGUCUAAUACCGGAUAGGAGCCAUUUUUAGUGUGAUGGUUGGAAAGUUUUUUCGGUGUAGGAUGAGCUCGCGGCCUAUCAGCUUGUUGGUGGGGUAAUGGCCUACCAAGGCGGCGACGGGUAGCCGGCCUGAGAGGGUGGACGGCCACAUUGGGACUGAGAUACGGCCCAGACUCCUACGGGAGGCAGCAGUGGGGAAUAUUGCACAAUGGGCGCAAGCCUGAUGCAGCGACGCCGCGUGGGGGAUGACGGCCUUCGGGUUGUAAACUCCUUUCGCUAGGGACGAAGCUUUUUGUGACGGUACCUAGAUAAGAAGCACCGGCUAACUACGUG
This 465-nucleotide ribosomal RNA is filed under the name uncultured bacterium. RNAcentral's name for it is "partial 16S ribosomal RNA". It matches the Rfam family "Bacterial small subunit ribosomal RNA", at positions 28 to 507 of the family's 1533-position model. The record is from RNAcentral.